This 441-nucleotide long non-coding RNA is filed under the name Musa acuminata (dwarf banana). Its description in RNAcentral is "long non-coding RNA (MACU_LNC007002)". The record is from RNAcentral. Lineage: Eukaryota; Viridiplantae; Streptophyta; Magnoliopsida; Zingiberales; Musaceae.
AACUUUUUCUUGCACAACCUGUUUACUUUGCAUUACUAAGUCAAAGUGAAUUUGUCUAUGACAUGUUAUACCUUCUCAUAACAAUUUUAAUAUUGUCUCCCAAGAAAUCAUUUCUUGCUGUUUCAUUCACAAUGACAGAAAAUUCUACUAACAAAAAACCCUCUAUUUCAUGAUAUUUAAUCGCAGCAUUGGACACAUGAAAGACAAAAUUUUUCAUUCAACUUCUCUUCUCUUAUCUACGAACAGUUCCUCUUCUUCACCGCAUGGCCGAAGCGUAUUAGAGUAAGGGAUCAAUGGGGAACUGCAUCCCAGCCAUCCCAGCUUCUUGAGUUCUCCAUCAUUUAUAUCAUAGCUAUAUGCCUCGCUAUCUACGGUGAAAACAAGUGACGUGGUCAUCGCCACCUCUCUCAGCACGACGCAGCUCACGUUGCGGGGUUUCCU